RNAcentral lists this ribosomal RNA (433 nucleotides) under uncultured bacterium. RNAcentral describes it as "partial 16S ribosomal RNA". It matches the Rfam family "Bacterial small subunit ribosomal RNA", at positions 29 to 507 of the family's 1533-position model. The record is from RNAcentral.
AGCGAAUGCUGGCGGCAGGCUUAACACAUGCAAGUCGAGCGGGCACUUCGGUGUCAGCGGCAGACGGGUGAGUAACACGUGGGAACGUACCCUUUGGUUCGGAAUAACGCUGGGAAACUAGCGCUAAUACCGGAUACGCCCUUUUGGGGAAAGGCUUGCUGCCGAAGGAUCGGCCCGCGUCUGAUUAGCUAGUUGGUGGGGUAAUGGCCUACCAAGGCGACGAUCAGUAGCUGGUCUGAGAGGAUGAUCAGCCACACUGGGACUGAGACACGGCCCAGACUCCUACGGGAGGCAGCAGUGGGGAAUAUUGGACAAUGGGCGCAGGCCUGAUCCAGCCAUGCCGCGUGAGUGAUGAAGGCCUUAGGGUUGUAAAGCUCUUUUGUCCGGGACGAUAAUGACGGUACCGGAAGAAUAAGCCCCGGCUAACUUCGUG